This 659-nucleotide long non-coding RNA is filed under the name Nicotiana benthamiana. RNAcentral describes it as "long non-coding RNA (NBEN_LNC037495)". Lineage: Eukaryota; Viridiplantae; Streptophyta; Magnoliopsida; Solanales; Solanaceae. The record is from RNAcentral.
GUCCAUAUAAGUUUCCAGUGUUUCAAGCAGGUCCAAGGGUGUGUUUGGGAAAAGAAAUGGCAUUCACACAGAUGAAGUAUGUGUUGGCUUCAGUAUUAAGGCGGUUCGAGAUUAAACCGGUGAAUGUAGAUAACCCGGUCUUUGUGCCUCUUUUAACCGCCUAAGGCGGUUCGAGAUUAAACCGGUUAAUUUAAAUAAGCCGGUUUUUGUGCCUCUUUUAACCGCACACAUGGCUGGUGGAUUCAAUGUGGGAAUAUAUCACCGGGGUAGCUAGCGCCUAGCUGGUGAAAUGUAAAACAUUGUACUGAUGAUCAAAUACUUUCAUACUUGUUGGAAGAAAGGAAAAAGUUAAUUCUAUGUUUAAUAUAUGUAUAAUCUAUAUAUAAAAUAUACGUAUGCUAACUAGAAAAAGUAAAUACUGAAUUUAGUUGGCUGUUUGUGUAACAAUCCUGACUUAGAUCUGAAUGAAAAUACUUUGAUUUUUAUUUACCUCUUUUCUUGACAAUUCGCCUGUAUGAAAACGUGGCUGGAUUUGGUUAUGUUGGAAGAGGAUUGCUAUUAAUAUUUGGAGAGAGGCUUUUAGGCUAAGGGAAUUUUUGAAGAGUAGAAAGAUUUUGAAGAAGAGAAACUUUUAUUACUCAAACUUGUUUUUGAUUUGG